AAAAUAAUGUGUGUCCAUACACGUCAACAAAAUUUUGGACGGGGAAGUAGGGAACUAAACACGGCCAUUAUCAGUUUAUCACCUUAUCCACUGCUCCUGCACUCCGCGCAGUCUACCGGCGGCGAGCAAUGGAAGCCGCUCUCCUCCGUCCUCCUCCCCUCGCUGCCCGAGGCGGCGUCAGCAUCGCCAUCGCCUUCUCCGUCUCUCGACUCCCUUCCGCCGCCGCCGCCGCCGCUGCGGGGAAGCCCAGGAAGCUCGCUCCCCCCGCAUGCCGCUGCCGCGCCACGCCGCAAUGGCAGCUCGAUUUCCUGGGCGCGGAAGCGGACACGGAGGCAGACGGCGGCGACGACGACGACGACCUCGACCUCGACCUCUCCCUCCCCGCCGAGACCAACGACUGGUGCGUCCGCGCGCGCCGCUCCGCUCUCCGCUCCAUCGAGGCGCGUGGCCUCUCCCCCUCGCUCCAGCGGAUGGUGGCCUCGCCCAAGAAGAAGAACAAGAAGAAGAAGUCCAAGAAGACGAACUUGAAGCAGAAGAAGGCCGCCGAGCCCAAGCCUCCUCGCGACACCGACGACGAUGAGGACGACGAGGAGGAAGCGGACGAUGAUCUGGAGGCCCUCCUGGCAGGAGGGGGUGAGCUGGACGACCUCGAGCUCAGGGUCGCGCAGUUCGCCGAUGGCAUGUUCGACGAAAAGCGCCAGAGGAACAGGGAGCAGUUCAUCCAGACGCUCUCCGCCUUCUCACCCGCCGCGCCGUCCAACCGGAGCCAGGAGGUGUCCCUCAACAGGUCCAUCGUCGAGGCUCGCACCGCCGACGAGGUGCUCGCGCUCACCGCCGAGGUGGUCGCCGCCGUGGCCAAAGGCCUCAGCCCGUCCCCGCUCACGCCGCUCAACAUCGCCACCGCGCUCCACCGCAUCGCCAAGAACAUGGAGGCGGUGUCCAUGCUACAGACGCACCGGCUCGGCUUCGCGCGCAGCAGGGACAUGUCCAUGCUCGUGGGGCUGGCAAUGGUGGCCCUGCCGGAAUGCUCACCGCAGGGUGUUUCUAACAUCUCCUGGGCUUUGUCCAAGAUUGGGGGUGACCUGCUCUACUUGCCGGAGAUGGAUAGGAUUGCCCAGGUAGCCAUCACCAAGGUUGACAGCUUCAAUGCACAGAAUGUUGCCAAUGUAGCCGGAUCAUUCGCUUCCAUGCGCCACUCAGCACCGGACCUUAUCUCAGCAUUGACCCGGAGAGCAGCAGAACUAGUGUACACCUUCAAGGAGCAAGAGCUCGCCCAGUUCUUGUGGGGAUGCGCUUCUCUUAACGAGUGUCCGUAUCCUCUACUUGAUGCACUUGAUACUGCUUGCAGGGAUGCUCCUAGUUUCGAUUGCCAUCUACAUGAUACAGUGCCUGGCAUGUGGCAGAGCUCAGACAAAGAAGCUUCUAGCCUGAAAAACAGUAGCAAUGCCUAUGCUCUGAACUUUACCCGAGAUCAGAUUGGAAAUAUUGCUUGGUCCUAUGCUGUUUUAGGCCAAAUGGACCGUCCGUUCUUCUCAGGGAUCUGGAAAACUCUAAGUCAAUUUGAAGAACGGAAAAUCUCAGAUCAGUAUAGAGAAGAUAUGAUGUUUGUUUCACAAGUUUAUCUUGCAAAUCAGUCUUUGAAGCUAGAAUACCCACAUCUUGAUAUGUGCUUACGAGGUGAUCUUGAAGAGAAUUUAACAAAAACUGGAAGGAGCAAACGGUUCAAUCAGAAGAUGACCUCCUCGUUUCAAAAGGAGGUUGGGCGUCUCCUAUGUAGUACAGGGCAUGAAUGGAAUAAAGAGUAUACAAUUGAUGGCUACACUGUUGACGCGGUGUUGGUUGACGAGAAGCUUGCAUUUGAAAUAGACGGACCAUCACAUUUCUCAAGGAAUUUAGGUACACCAUUAGGCCACACAGCAUUUAAACGACGUUACAUUGCUGCUGCUGGAUGGAACCUUGUUUCUUUAUCUCAUCAAGAGUGGGAGAACCUCGAAGGCGAGUUUGAGCAAUUGGAAUAUUUGAGGCGGAUUUUAGGUUUUGAUGCAGAAUAAGCCCCAUAGCACCAUAUUUUAGCACAAGCAACACCAUUCUUGAUUCUUGAGAGGGCCAAUACAACCAAGAACUUGUGGAGUGGUGGUAGUCACGCGGAUAAUGGUAUCAGUAACCUUGAAAGCACAUGAGCAGAGUCCUGGCGCUGCUUUUCCCUGUGCAGGUGAAACGAUAGUGUUCAUUCAUAAGCUGUCUUCGAAGUAUUGCUCUUGAAAUCUCCAUCUAUUGAAGGGUCAGAUGAGAGGCUUUUCUUUAUAGCCUUAACGUUAAUGACAAAGGUUUGAGAGAGGAACAUUAGGUUCUGCACCUUACCUUUAUAUUGACGAUUUGAUACUAAUUUAGAUUUUUGUCAAUGGUAUACUGCAGCGGCGAAUUUUUCUGUGAACAUUGUAGUGGCGAAUUUUCUGUGAACAUUGCAGUUAAAGAGUAUACUGAUGGACACAAUUGCUAGUUGGUACAACUGGAGGAUAGAAUAAAUGUAGUCUUCAAAAAAAGAAUAUGCUUCAAUUUUCAUCUAGAGUUACAGUUGAUUAUAUACUACAAUUUAGUUUGUGUUUAUGCUAUUUAAGGUGUAAUGCUUCAUUCUAUUGAUAUACUGUAACCUAUAAUAAAUUCUGCUGGUAUUUUGUUAUAACAUUCAUGCUGAGGAAACAAAGCGUCUUCUAUUA
This is an RNA transcript of Oryza sativa Japonica Group (Japanese rice), 2717 nucleotides long. It is a transcript of the gene named Albino Leaf1, with no coding region annotated. Lineage: Eukaryota; Viridiplantae; Streptophyta; Magnoliopsida; Poales; Poaceae. The record is from RefSeq and is marked validated.